GGACUACCGGGGUUUCUAAUCCUGUUUGCUCCCCUUGCUCUCGCGCCUCAGCGUCAGGUCAUAGCUAGAAAACCGCUUUCGCCACAGGUGUUCUUCCACAUAUCUACGCAUUUCACCGCUACACGUGGAAUUCCGUUUUCUCCGCCAUACCUCUAGAUUUAUAGUUUCAAAUGCAGCUCCGAAAUUGAGCCCCGGAAUUUCACAUCUGACUUAUAUAUCCGCCUACGCGCCCUUUACGCCCAAUAAUUCCGAUUAAUGCUUGCACCCUCCGUAUUACCGCGGCUGCUGGCAC
Molecule: ribosomal RNA, 292 nt
Filed under: uncultured bacterium
Lineage: Bacteria
Description: partial 16S ribosomal RNA
Source: RNAcentral